This 555-nucleotide long non-coding RNA is filed under the name Fukomys damarensis (Damara mole-rat). RNAcentral describes it as "lncRNA (ENSFDAG00000029575.1)". The record is from RNAcentral. Lineage: Eukaryota; Metazoa; Chordata; Mammalia; Rodentia; Bathyergidae.
CAAACCUCCCAUGAUUGUUUUCUUCAUUUGUCAUGGUUCCCUCCUUGCAGCCAAAUUGGCCUCUGAAAUUUCUGGCUUUCAGAGAACAAAGAGAAGUCAUAGAAAAUACAGAUGCGACAGUAAUGGUAUCUGCUCUGCCAGGCACAAACUCUUAGGAGAAUUUAUCUCUUAGGCUACAUGGAUCUCAGACAGUCAAAAACCCGGAAGAAGCCCAUCCUUGGACAAUUUACAGCCACUCCAAAUGACUGUGAGAAGGGUGACUCCGCCAUCUGUGUUUUGGGACCCAUCUCCAUUCAUGCAUUCCAGGAGGAAAAUCAUAAUAACAUGGACAGCACCUGUAAAUGAUAAGCUGUGAAGGACACGUCACUAUCUUUUAACAUCUUGAAUGUCAUUGCAUUAAAGAUACUGCUGAUCAAGUAUAUGGGGAAUAGCAUUACUAGAGAAACAGUGUUAAUGCAAGAUAUACAAAUAUAUAAGAAUUUGCAAGGUUGGCUUACAGUGGCCACACACAGAGGUGGGUGUGGGAGGGCGCAGAGGGCUGCCUGUGCACUGGGG